RNAcentral lists this ribosomal RNA (548 nucleotides) under uncultured Glomeromycotina. RNAcentral's name for it is "SSU rRNA". It matches the Rfam family "Eukaryotic small subunit ribosomal RNA", at positions 548 to 1098 of the family's 1831-position model. The record is from RNAcentral. Lineage: Eukaryota; Fungi; Glomeromycota.
UUGGAGGGCAAGUCUGGUGCCAGCAGCCGCGGUAAUUCCAGCUCCAAUAGCGUAUAUUAAAGUUGUUGCAGUUAAAAAGCUCGUAGUUAAAUUUCGAGAUCAAUUUGUCGGUCGUGCCUCGGUACGUACUGGCAUUAUUGAUUUCUCCCUUCUGAAGAACCGCGAUGUCAUUAAUUUGGUGUCGUGGGGAAUCAGGACUGUUACUUUGAAAAAAUUAGAGUGUUUAAAGCAGGCGCACGCUUGAAUACAUUAGCAUGGAAUAAUGAAAUAGGACGUUUGAUUCUAUUUUGUUGGUUUCUAGGAUCGACGUAAUGAUUAAUAGGGAUAGUUGGGGGCAUUAGUAUUCAAUUGUCAGAGGUGAAAUUCUUGGAUUUAUUGAAGACUAACUACUGCGAAAGCAUUUGCCAAGGAUGUUUUCAUUAAUCAAGAACGAAAGUUAGGGGAUCGAAGACGAUCAGAUACCGUCGUAGUCUUAACCAUAAACUAUGCCGACUAGGGAUCGGAUGAUGUUAAUUUUUUAAUGACUCAUUCGGCGCCUUACGGGAAAC